This 129-nucleotide non-coding RNA is filed under the name uncultured Stichotrichia. Lineage: Eukaryota; Ciliophora; Spirotrichea. The record is from RNAcentral.
UGUGAACGCGCUGUUGCUGUUCGUCGUAUGCUUUACAGUCAAUUGUUUGAAGCUGGAAACACGAACGAAAAUGAAGAUCAAGCUCGUCGCUGUCCUUUGGAAUUGAUCCCAUACACCGGAUACAAUUAC